Long non-coding RNA from Bactrocera dorsalis (oriental fruit fly), 3012 nucleotides. RefSeq lists it as uncharacterized. The record is from RefSeq and is a predicted model, not a curated record. NCBI's taxonomy places the organism in Eukaryota, Metazoa, Arthropoda, Insecta, Diptera, Tephritidae. The transcript is spliced from 2 exons.
UUGAGAUUUUAAGUUAGAGACAAUUUUUGAGACUUGAGAUGAUUUUGCUAUUCUGUAAGUGACAGUCACAAAAUCUAUAACAUUUCAUCAUUCAGAGAUGUUUUUACACUUGAAUGGAAAUAAAUAUGUCGAUAACAAAUAUUAAAAUUUCUAUAACAUCGUCAAAAAACAUAGUUAUCAAUAAAAAUGAAAAUAUAUGUUAACUUUGUUUCAUAAUAUUUACGAAAUUUAUGUAAAAUUUAUUCAUUUUUAACUUUUUCGUCUUUGAGUUGCUUACAAAAUAUAAAAAUACGACAAUCGAUUAAUAUCUAUGAUGAUCUCUAUUCAGUAUAUUCAAAAUGGCAGACAAGAGCUCUUUUUAGUUUUGUGACCGGCUAACUACCAGGUCUCAAUGUUUUGAGACUAACGCUAGAGACUGUUUAGUGAAUAGUAACUAGUCUCAAAUUGAGACUGCCUCAAAAUGUCUCAAAUAGAGACUAGAGACUGGUUACAGAAUCCCGCUAUAAGUCUCAAAAAUUGUCUCUAACUUAAAAUCUCAAAUUUAGAGACUUGAGACUGUCUCAAGUUACAGAUUCGCACGGCUAAUCUGGCAUUAUUAUUACCGUUUCUCAUUCAUUCAGCAAUAAUUAUUGACAUUCGAAUCAAAUCAAUAACUAUUUGUCAACUCUUCAUUGUCACGCACAGUGAUCACUCUCACAGCAAUGAACGCGCUCUUGCUCUGCAAGUGCGGCGAUGCUGUUAAGUGUUAUACUCAUGAUACUAAUAGCGGGAUUCUGUAACCAGUCUCUAGUCUCUAUUUGAGACAUUUUGAGGUAAAAUCUCAAUUUGAGACUAGUUACUAUUCACUGAACAGUCUCUAACGUUAUUCUCAAAAUAUUGAGGCCUGGUAGAUAGCAGGUCACAAAACUAAAAACAAUUCUUGUCUACCAUUUUGAAUAUACUGAAUAGAGAUCAUCAUAGAUAUUAAUCGUUUGUCGUUUUUUUAUAUUUUGUAAGCAACUCAAACACGAAAAGGUUAAAAAUAAAUCAAUUUUACAUAAAUUUCGUAAAUAUUACGAAACAAAGUAAACAUAUAUUUUUAUUUUUAUGGAUAAUGAUGUUUUUUAACUAUGUUAAAGAAAAUUUAAUAUUUGUUAUCGACAUGUUUAUUUUCAUUCAAGUACAAAAAAAAGCAAAAACAUCUCUGGAUAAUGAAAUGUUAUAGAUUUUGUGACUGUCACUUAUAGAAUAGCAAAAUCGUCUCAAGUCUCAAAAAUUGUCUCUAACUCAAAAUCUCAAAUUUAGAGACUUGAGACUGUAUCACAGUACAGAAUCUCACAUCCGUGAACGUAUCACUCGUCACGUAAAAGCCUGUAUUUCGUAUUAUGACAUACGUAAUCGUAACGCUUCUAUCGUAAUAUGGCAUGAUGACAUACGUACGUGAACCAGUAUAUAAACGCAAACUACCAAUCGUAAUAAACAAAUUUAUGGAAAUGUGGGCAAAUUUUUUUUUAACAUUUAAGUUUUUUAUAAUUUUUAGGAAUAAAGAACAUAAACAAGAAACCAGUGAAUGGAAUCUCUCAUUAAAAGUUAAAAAAAAAGUUAUUUGUAUGAACAAAAUUUUUGUAUUUUACAUGACAAUAAAUAUAAAAUUAUUUACAAGGUUAAGGACAUAUACAUUUUUGAAAUAAAUUUAUUUAUUUGGUCUCUUAACGUUGUUCGAUAGAUGUGAAGCGGUUCGCUACCCCGUUGUCCAUUUCUUGUGUGUGAAAAGAAUCGCAAUUUGAACAGAUGUUAUGUAAUGCCUCACAAACGUUAGCAAAUCUUGCACUUUUGUGCGGUUCCUCUCUUGCCAAAUCCUAAAAUACUCCACCGUCUUUUUAAGAUUCUAAUGCUUUGUUCAACGAUACAUCUGCAAAGAAAAUUUUAUUAAUGAGGAUUCAUAAUUUUUUUUAUAACUACGCUAUUGCUACGAUCUCUUAGCUAUCUCUGCACUAUUUUUUAUGCCCAUCACUUUCACGAAAGCUCAAAUAAAAAGCUUUAGUGAAUUCACUUUGAUAUUUAAUUCUUCUUCUUCUUAAUUGGCGUAGACACCGCUUAUGCGAUUAUAGCCGAGUUUUAAUUAGCUUUUGUUAAUUUAUUAAAAACUUCGCAACAGUUUUGACAGUUUCACAUCUAUUGUGACCUAAAAAUACGAUCCAAAGCAAUGUGGAAUUUAAAAACUAUUGUGAAUUUGAAAUACAUUACGAUCCUUUUGCUAUCGUAUGUCAUAAUUCCAAUCACCGCAUACGAUUGACGUAUCACGUAAUUUUCUUUCGUAUGUUUGCCGAUCCGUGCACGGAUGUAACGAUUCGACCCCUGAUUUCAAAUUAAGGGUUGUAAAAUAUUGCGAAUAACCCAUAUUAGACAAUAUCGACACUACAUUUGAAAUUGGAUAUUUAUCAUCAAUUGUUCACCCCUAUCAUGCAUUUCGAUUACGUUCCCGCUCUACGCUCCGCCGGAGUCGAAAUUAGGUAUCAUGCGUUACGAUUGGAUUGAAAGAAGAAGAGGAAGAGCUAUAACUCUUUCGAAAUCAGCUGUUUGCUUUGAAAUAUGUGAAACUGGAACAUAACAAAGCAAAAAUACACAAAUUACUGCUGUUCAAAGAAAAUAGAUAAAAGUAAAAUUUUUAUAUUGUUAUUAUUUUUAUUAAACGUAACUAUGGAAUCUUUAUCCGCGGCGAUAUUACUGGUUGAGGAGGAGAGCAGCGCAUCUCAGAAUGCUGGGGUGAGAAUUGAAAGGAGAUGAUUACGAGAUAUGUGCGAUCCCUUCCAGAUGAAUGACGGGCUAUUCAGAAAAACUUUCGUCUGAAUAAGGACGCAUGUCCUAGAUACGUUUGCGGAAGAAACGACGGCAAGUAAAUUUGAUGCUACCUCUUUCCAAAAAGCCUGCACAUCUUCCUUAGGACGCUGGUGGAAACCGUUGGCUAUAUCUAGCUUACUCUCCAUCAUAUCUGCCAAUUUUCCAUAUUGCUCUGGUGUUGUUGUUUUUGAC